AUUGAGUUACCUAAAAUUAAAUUUGGAGGAAGCAUUUAGAAAUGGUUUAUCUAUAAAAUAAAUUAUCUCAAAAUUCUUGGAAAAACUUCCAAAAUAAUAAUUUGACUAUCAAAAUUCUUAUAUUUAUAAAUUAUUGUUGAAAAUCUAAACAACUACAAUUUAAAAAUAUAAGGUUCUUCUUCUAGAUAUUUGACUAUUAUUCUUGGUAAAUUGUAGGAAAUUUUAUCACGAGGUAAAACAUCUAAAAAAA
RNAcentral lists this long non-coding RNA (250 nucleotides) under Lathyrus oleraceus (garden pea). Its description in RNAcentral is "Pisum sativum (pea) long non-coding RNA (PSAT_LNC039618)". Lineage: Eukaryota; Viridiplantae; Streptophyta; Magnoliopsida; Fabales; Fabaceae. The record is from RNAcentral.